Syngnathus acus (greater pipefish) is the source of this 148-nucleotide long non-coding RNA. RefSeq lists it as uncharacterized. The transcript has 2 exons. The record is from RefSeq and is a predicted model, not a curated record. NCBI's taxonomy places the organism in Eukaryota, Metazoa, Chordata, Actinopteri, Syngnathiformes, Syngnathidae.
UUCGACAAAAUCCAACACCAAGAACAGUCAUGAACGAGCAACAACAGGUUAAACGAUAGCAACAACAGGUUAAACAAUAGGUAUCCUAACGUGACAUAAACACAAACGAAGAGCUGAGAACAGGCCUGAUGUAACAUUCAGAGUUAUU